This 67-nucleotide microRNA precursor is filed under the name Bombyx mori (domestic silkworm). RNAcentral describes it as "mir-2774 microRNA precursor family". It matches the Rfam family "mir-2774 microRNA precursor family". Lineage: Eukaryota; Metazoa; Arthropoda; Insecta; Lepidoptera; Bombycidae. The record is from Rfam by way of RNAcentral.
ACAACAUUUGGACCGUCGGCCCACCGAGCAAUGUCACCCGCUCGGUGGAAGAUCUUUCCUCCGUCGU